CAAGCAAUGGUCACAGAACUCAUUUACAUACAAGUAGAACUCUUCAGCUCUGGGGGGAUUUAAAGAGGAAGGGGGACGAUUCCUUCAGAGAGUCAGAUUCCUUCAGAAAUCUCACCAUGACCCCAUCUCUUUUGAUCCUUGCUCUUUUCACUUAUUGCUCAGGUAAGGACAGAGAGAAUUCAUGUCAUGCUGGGAAACAAGAAAACUAUUUGCACUUGUACUGCUUUAGAGACAUUUCAGAGCGUUGACGAUGCAAUCAGUUCAUGACAUUUGUCUUUUCUGGUUUCCCCCCCCCUUAAAGGUGUUACCGCUCAGACAACUUUGACUCAACCUGCCUCUGAGUCUGUGUCCCCGGGAGAAACGGCUAAACUCUCCUGCGCUGCCAGUGAUACAUCAUACAACAUUGGCUGGUAUCAACAGAGACUUGGAGAAGGUCCUCGCUAUGUGCAUUACCCUGGGUACGGCAGGGGAGAAGGGAUCCCGGAUCGGUUCACUGCUUCCCAGUCAGGGAGCACUGGCUAUUUAACCAUCGCUAAUGUCCAGACUGGAGAUGAAGCAGUUUAUUUCUGUGGCAGGUGGCAGAAAGGAGGUAACACGUUG
This 600-nucleotide long non-coding RNA is filed under the name Podarcis lilfordi (Lilford's wall lizard). The record is from RNAcentral. Lineage: Eukaryota; Metazoa; Chordata; Lepidosauria; Squamata; Lacertidae.